AACGAACGCUGGCGGCAGGCUUAACACAUGCAAGUCGAACGCAUGCCUUCGGGCAAGAGCGGCAGACGGGCGAGUAACGCGUGGGAACCUACCCCUUGGUACGGGCUUGCUUAGGGAAACAGGAGAUACUAGCGGAUGUAUCCUGAGGGACAAAGAUUCAUCGCCAAGGGAUGUGCCCGCGUCGGAUUAGCUCGUUGGUGGGGUAACGGCCUACCAAGGCGACGAUCCGUAGCUGACCUCCGAGGAUGGUCGGCCACAUUGAGACUGAGACACGGCCCAAACUCCUACGGGAGGCAGCAGUGGGGAAUGUUGGACAGUGGGCGCAAGCCUGGUCCAGCCAUGCCGCGUGAGUGGUGAAGGCCAUAGGGUUGUAAAGCUCUUUCACCGGUGACGAUAAUGACGGUAACCGGAGAAGAAGCCCCGGCUAACUUCGUG
This 435-nucleotide ribosomal RNA is filed under the name uncultured bacterium. RNAcentral describes it as "partial 16S ribosomal RNA". It matches the Rfam family "Bacterial small subunit ribosomal RNA", at positions 29 to 507 of the family's 1533-position model. The record is from RNAcentral.